CUCCUCCUAAGUUUAGUAGUUGACAGCAUGUAUGUUUAGUCUUUUGUAUAUCAUGUAGUUAGCUCAAACUAGUGAUUUGCAUGCUUAUGAAAUCUGAGUUUGGAGCUUAAAAUGUUAGUUAAAUAUACAUGUUGGACUUGGAUUUAACUUAGGAGAAAACUGACGUUUCUACACUGUCAUAUGUUAAAACUACCAGAUUUAACUCUAGG
Molecule: long non-coding RNA, 209 nt
Filed under: Ananas comosus (pineapple)
Lineage: Eukaryota; Viridiplantae; Streptophyta; Magnoliopsida; Poales; Bromeliaceae
Description: long non-coding RNA (ACOM_LNC034396)
Source: RNAcentral